This is a long non-coding RNA of Gadus macrocephalus (Pacific cod), 686 nucleotides long. RefSeq lists it as uncharacterized. NCBI's taxonomy places the organism in Eukaryota, Metazoa, Chordata, Actinopteri, Gadiformes, Gadidae. The transcript has 2 exons. The record is from RefSeq and is a predicted model, not a curated record.
ACACCCAGUGGCGUGCACAGACAUUUUGGGGGGCAGGUGCUCAGGGAAAAAUAAGGGCACAUUAAAGUGUCAUUUCGAAGUGAAGAGUGAUCAUUACCACUUUUCUAAAGCAGCAUCCUCCUCAGUGCCAUGUCUUGAUGUUGAUGACCUCACUAUGAUUGAUCUUGAUAUAUUCUUCUAUAGCAAGCAGGAGAAGGUCAGAGAGCUGUUCUUCUCCACACAGACUUCUUAGUUUAGUUUUGAUAAUUUUCAGCUUUGAAAAUUAUCUCUCCACAGAAGCAGUUGUCACUGGCAAUGUUUCAUCGAUUUUUAUCAUCUUCACAAAGGCAGGAAAGAUGAGCCGGCCACUGUUUUCCCUCAGUAUGGCAAAGAUUUAUUUGAGGUCUUUUGCAGGAAAGCUGGAGUGGAACACCUUUAGUUCUGUCUUCAGCUGGUCCUCGUCUUCUCCAUAGAAAUCAGGAUGUGGACGGCUUCCUUGGCUUCUGCGUUUGGCGUGCUUACCCACUGUGAACUACAGCUGCAAUGCGCCUCCGUUUGUGUCCGCUCUGCGCGUUCAUGUUGACAAAGGAAGAGAGUUGUGUGCGAGGAGGAGGAGGGGGGGGGGGCAUAUAUAUUGGGCCAUUAUUAUCACACGUUUUUAAUUGUCGAGCCUUUAUAGAUGAUAAUGUCGGCAUGGGCCACAUACA